This 328-nucleotide ribosomal RNA is filed under the name uncultured eukaryote. RNAcentral's name for it is "partial 18S ribosomal RNA". It matches the Rfam family "Eukaryotic small subunit ribosomal RNA", at positions 1470 to 1796 of the family's 1831-position model. The record is from RNAcentral.
CCCUUAGAUGUCCUGGGCCGCACGCGCGUUACACUGACAGAUGCAUCAAGCGGUUCACCUUGGCCGACAGGCCCGGGUAAUCUUUGUAAACUCUGUCGUGCUGGGGAUAGAUCAUUGCAAUUAUUGAUCUUCAACGAGGAAUUCCUAGUAAGCGCGAGUCAUCAUCUCGCGCUGAAUACGUCCCUGCCCUUUGUACACACCGCCCGUCGCUCCUACCGAUUGAGUGGUCCGGUGAGGCUUCGGGAGAGCUAAAUGGAUUGUGUUUCACAAACUAUUUGGCUUGAACUUAGUCAAACCUUACUACUUAGAGGAAGGAGAAGUCGUAACA